Ribosomal RNA from Fukomys damarensis (Damara mole-rat), 118 nucleotides. The record is from Ensembl. Lineage: Eukaryota; Metazoa; Chordata; Mammalia; Rodentia; Bathyergidae.
UGUGGUGGCCAUACCACAUAGAAUGCACCUGAUCUCAUCAGAUCUUGGAAGCUAAGCAUGGUCAGGCCUGGUUAGUACUUGGAUGGGAAGCCUGGUAGGGACUAUGUGGCCACAAGGU